GAUGAUCCGUGAAACAACUAUCC
RNAcentral lists this non-coding RNA (23 nucleotides) under Arabidopsis thaliana (thale cress). The record is from RNAcentral. Lineage: Eukaryota; Viridiplantae; Streptophyta; Magnoliopsida; Brassicales; Brassicaceae.